RNAcentral lists this long non-coding RNA (358 nucleotides) under Daucus carota (carrot). RNAcentral describes it as "long non-coding RNA (DCAR_LNC006130)". Lineage: Eukaryota; Viridiplantae; Streptophyta; Magnoliopsida; Apiales; Apiaceae. The record is from RNAcentral.
CUGUACAAGUUCCAGAACCACUACAACAGCAACAAUAUCAACCACAACAACAACAACAAGCUCAACAACAAGAACAACCGCAACAACAAUCACCUCCUCCAAACUAUCAACCACUUCAACUACUUCAAGACUAUCAGUCAUCCAGCCAAUCCUCACAUUACUCUCCCUACAACCCUCCUUACAAUUCACCACAACAAUCACCUCACCAAUCAUCAUACAAUUCUCCUCACCAAUCUCAACACCAAUCCCCUCCACAGUAUAACUUCUUCCCAGACCAACAAGCCUCCAUUCUUCCCUCUCAAUCUGAACCAACACCUUCACCUACACAUACACAUACCAUUCCUCAACCACAAUCAAC